UGGGGAAUAUUGGACAAUGGGCGCAAGCCUGAUCCAGCCAUGCCGCGUGAGUGAUGAAGGCCUUAGGGUUGUAAAGCUCUUUCGCCGGUGAAGAUAAUGACGGUAACCGGAGAAGAAGCCCCGGCUAACUUCGUGCCAGCAGCCGCGGUAAUACGACGGGGGCUAGCGUUGCUCGGAAUCACUGGGCGUAAAGCGCACGUAGGCGGGUCGUUAAGUCAGGGGUGAAAUCCUGGAGCUCAACUCCAGAACUGCCCUUGAUACUGGCGAUCUAGAGUUCGAGAGAGGUUGGUGGAACUCCGAGUGUAGAGGUGAAAUUCGUAGAUAUUCGGAAGAACACCAGUGGCGAAGGCGGCCAACUGGCUCGAUACUGACGCUGAGGUGCGAAAGCGUGGGGAGCAAACA
This 402-nucleotide ribosomal RNA is filed under the name uncultured prokaryote. Its description in RNAcentral is "bacterial SSU rRNA". It matches the Rfam family "Bacterial small subunit ribosomal RNA", at positions 355 to 774 of the family's 1533-position model. The record is from RNAcentral.